AAGGUGCUGCAUGGUUGUCGUCAGCUCGUGCCGUGAGGUGUCAGGUUAAGUCCUAUAACGAGCGCAACCCUUGUCAUUAGUUGCCAGCAUGUAAAGAUGGGGACUCUAAUGAGACUGCCGGUGCAAACCGCGAGGAAGGUGGGGAUGACGUCAAAUCAUCACGGCCCUUACGUCCUGGGCCACACACGUGCUACAAUGGUCAGUACAGAGGGCAGCUACCUAGUGAUAGGAUGCGAAUCUCGAAAGCUGAUCUCAGUUCGGAUUGGAGUCUGCAACUCGACUCCAUGAAGCUGGAAUCGCUAGUAAUCGCGUAUCAGCCAUGACGCGGUGAAUACGUUCCCGGGCCUUGUACACACCGCCCGUCAAGCCAUGGAAGCUGGGGGUGCCUGAAGUCGGUAACCGCAAGGAGCUGCCUAGGGUAAAACUAGUAACUGGGGCUAAGUCGUAACAAGGUAGCCGUACCGGAAGGUGCGGCUGGAUCACCUCCUU
This 489-nucleotide ribosomal RNA is filed under the name Thalassiosira antarctica. RNAcentral's name for it is "partial Bacterial small subunit ribosomal RNA". It matches the Rfam family "Bacterial small subunit ribosomal RNA", at positions 1035 to 1532 of the family's 1533-position model. The record is from RNAcentral. Lineage: Eukaryota; Bacillariophyta; Thalassiosirophyceae; Thalassiosirales; Thalassiosiraceae.